Molecule: long non-coding RNA, 410 nt
Organism: Amphimedon queenslandica
Lineage: Eukaryota; Metazoa; Porifera; Demospongiae; Haplosclerida; Niphatidae
Exons: 4
Source: RefSeq, a predicted model, not a curated record
CACUGAUGUACUGUACAAUACUCUAUCUACCAUAUUAGAAGGACUCCACCAGUUAUUAGUUAAUAGGUGUAUUCACGUACAGCAAUUGAUUGGGCCGUAUUUUAGAGACCUAAUUAAAGGAAUGGGAAAAUUAUUUCUAGAUAUUUUGAGAUUUAUUAUCAAUAUGGUAUCUACUAUUAAUGGGCAUCUUCACAAAUUAUCAGUUCCUAUUACAACUGAUGUCCAGCAAGUUAAGAAUUAUAAAAGUCUAUUAAAGGACUUGUAUCAACAUUGUAUGAUUCCAUUGACGUUAUUAGUGGAAAAUACUAGUUCAUCAUUUCAUAGAUCUGAGGAUUUAACCUUUUUAUUGGUUGAGACCAGCAUUGCUAUGACAACUUGUGUAUGUAAAUGGUAAGAUAGUAUUAUGAUUC